UUGGCCUCCCAAAGUGCUGGGAUUACAGGUGUGAGCCACGGUUCUCGGCCGUUUAACAUUCUUUUAAACGGCUCCCCCACUUCCAAUCUUAGUUUCCGUCCCAAUUUGGGAAUUGUUCCUGCCUGGAGGUGAGGGAACCAUCAAUGGCCUUGUCUGAGAUGCACGCCUUGGUGCACAACAAACUCCUCUGCCAUCGCUUAGUCCUUCAAAGCUGACAGUGCUUUUAGAGGAAUGAAUACUUUUGGACUGGAAAGUAGACCUGGAAAAAUGGCCGUUAGGUUUUCUGUUAACUUCAAACUCAUCGGGGAAAGUAGAUAUAACAAAUG
Molecule: long non-coding RNA, 326 nt
Organism: Homo sapiens (human)
Lineage: Eukaryota; Metazoa; Chordata; Mammalia; Primates; Hominidae
Exons: 3
Source: RefSeq, a predicted model, not a curated record